GACGAACGCUGGCGGCGUGCCUAAUACAUGCAAGUCGAACGAACCGCGACUAGGUGCUUGCACUUGGUCAAGGUGAGUGGCGAACGGGUGAGUAACACGUGGGUAACCUACCUCAUAGUGGGGGAUAACAGUCGGAAACGACUGCUAAUACCGCAUAGGACAUAGGAUCACAUGAUCCAGUGAGGAAAGGUGGCGCAAGCUAUCGCUAAGAGAUGGACCCGCGGUGCAUUAGCUAGUUGGUAGGGUAAAGGCCUACCAAGGCGAUGAUGCAUAGCCGACCCGAGAGGGUGAUCGGCCACAUUGGGACUGAGACACGGCCCAAACUCCUACGGGAGGCAGCAGUAGGGAAUCUUCCGCAAUGGACGCAAGUCUGACGGAGCAACGCCGCGUGAGUGAAGAAGGUCUUCGGAUCGUAAAGCUCUGUUGUUAGAGAAGAACAGCGCAUAGAGUAACUGUUAUGCGUGUGACGGUAUCUAACCAGAAAGCCACGGCUAACUACGUG
Molecule: ribosomal RNA, 502 nt
Filed under: uncultured bacterium
Lineage: Bacteria
Description: partial 16S ribosomal RNA
Rfam family: Bacterial small subunit ribosomal RNA
Source: RNAcentral